Molecule: long non-coding RNA, 494 nt
Organism: Vitis riparia (riverbank grape)
Lineage: Eukaryota; Viridiplantae; Streptophyta; Magnoliopsida; Vitales; Vitaceae
Exons: 4
Source: RefSeq, a predicted model, not a curated record
AGAUCUAUUGAUUUCAUGUUCCAUUGCAGGCUGAAGUGACACAGAGGUUGAGUAAUGCUAAGGAAGCAGCCAACAAACCUGCAUUGCAAAGUCAUGAGGAUCUUGCACGGAAACUUCAGGAGGAGAUGGAGAGAAAUCGCAAGACAUCAUCAGGCUCCAAGUCUGAUGGAUCUGGGAAGCGGAUGAAAGAAGUUGCCUGUCCCAUUUGCACUGUCCAUUUGCAGGUCCAAGUUCCCAGCUCAGGAUCUGAGACCAUUGAGUGUGGGGUUUGCCAGCAUCCUUUCCUUGUGAGUGCUCAUUGAUGGCAAACAAUUUCAAAUUAUCAUUGAAGGCACCCUCAUGUCUCUGUUAAAAUUUUUCAUUAUUUUCUACUGGUUGAUAUUUUGAUAUUUGGUAAAUUUCUUGGUUGUGUGAGCUUUGAUCUGAUAUCAACUCAGUGUGUAUAUGAAGUUAAUUUUACUUGGGAGCCUAUCAAUCAAGGCACAUUUUAUGUA